This 522-nucleotide ribosomal RNA is filed under the name uncultured Flavobacterium sp. RNAcentral describes it as "bacterial LSU rRNA". It matches the Rfam family "Bacterial large subunit ribosomal RNA", at positions 27 to 610 of the family's 2925-position model. The record is from RNAcentral. Lineage: Bacteria; Pseudomonadati; Bacteroidota; Flavobacteriia; Flavobacteriales; Flavobacteriaceae.
GAUGCCUAGGCUUUCAGAGGCGAAGAAGGACGUGGUAAGCUGCGAAAAGCUGCGGGGAUCGGCACACACGAAUUGAUCCGCAGAUGUCCGAAUGGGGCAACCCGGCAUGUUGAAGACAUGUCACUCUAAUUUAUUAGAGAGCAAACCCGGAGAAUUGAAACAUCUAAGUACCCGGAGGAAAAGAAAUCGAAGAGAUUCCGUAAGUAGUGGCGAGCGAAAGCGGAUUACCCCAAAAGUUUGGUUUGUUUAAUAGAAUGUUCUGGAAAGAACACCCGUAGAGGGUGAUACCCCCGUAUAUGAAAGGCAUAUUUAACUGAUAAAUGAGUAGGGCGGGACACGUGAAAUCCUGUCUGAAUAUGGGGGGACCAUCCUCCAAGGCUAAAUACUCCUGAAAGACCGAUAUGGAACAACUACAUUGAAGGGAAAGUAAGAAGCACUUCGAAUAGAAGGGUGAAAGAGAACCUGAAACCGUACGCCUACAAGCGGUCGGAGCCCACAAGUUGGGUGACGGCGUGCCUUUUG